AUAGGAGGUCCCGCCUGCCCAGUGACCAAAAGUUUAACGGCCGCGGUAUUUUAACCGUGCAAAGGUAGCGCAAUCAAUUGUCUUUUAAAUGAAGACCUGUAUGAAUGGCAUAACGAGGGUUUAACUGUCUCUUUCUCCUGGUCAGUGAAACUGAUCUACCCGUGCAGAAGCGGGUAUGAAUAUACAAGACGAGAAGACCCUAUGGAGCUUUAGACGCCCACCAAUCACGAAAAGCAGGUCUCGCUCAACAGACCCCCAAACAACGUGAUACUGGCACAAACGUCUUCGGUUGGGGCGACCGCGGGAGAGAAAAAAGCUCCCGAGAGGAUUGGGGCUACCCUAAAACCAAGAGCUACACCUCUAAGUCACAAAACAUUUGACCAAAAAUGAUCCGGCUACAUGCCGAUUAACGAACCAAGUUACCCUAGGGAUAACAGCGCAAUCCCUUCCCAGAGUCCAUAUCGACGAAGGGGUUUACGACCUCGAUGUUGGAUCAGGACAUCCUAAUGGUGCAGCCGCUAUUAAGGGUUCGUUUGUUCAACGAUUAAAGUCCUACGUGAUCUGAGUUCAGACCGGAGUAAUCCAGGUCAGUUUCUAUCUGUAA
This 604-nucleotide ribosomal RNA is filed under the name Clupea pallasii (Pacific herring). RNAcentral describes it as "partial 16S ribosomal RNA". It matches the Rfam family "Bacterial large subunit ribosomal RNA", at positions 1845 to 2647 of the family's 2925-position model. The record is from RNAcentral. Lineage: Eukaryota; Metazoa; Chordata; Actinopteri; Clupeiformes; Clupeidae.